Molecule: ribosomal RNA, 460 nt
Filed under: uncultured bacterium
Lineage: Bacteria
Description: partial 16S ribosomal RNA
Rfam family: Bacterial small subunit ribosomal RNA
Source: RNAcentral
CCUACGGGAGGCAGCAGUGAGGAAUAUUGGUCAAUGGACGAGAGUCUGAACCAGCCAAGUAGCGUGAAGGAUGACUGCCCUAUGGGUUGUAAACUUCUUUUAUAUGGGAAUAAAAUGUUCCACGUGUGUGAUUUUGUAUGUACCCUAUGAAUAAGGAUCGGCUAACUCCGUGCCAGCAGCCGCGGUAAUACGGAGGAUCCGAGCGUUAUCCGGAUUUAUUGGGUUUAAAGGGAGCGUAGGUGGAUUGUUAAGUCAGUUGUGAAAGUUUGCGGCUCAACCGUAAAAUUGCAGUUGAAACUGGCAGUCUGGAGUACAGUAGAGGUGGGCGGAAUUCGUGGUGUAGCGGUGAAAUGCUUAGAUAUCACGAAGAACUCCGAUUGCGAAGGCAGCUCACUGGACUGCAACUGACACUGAGGCUCGAAAGUGUGGGUAUCAAACAGGAUUAGAUACCCCAGUAGUC